AGCAGCCGCGGUAAUUCCAGCUCCAAUAGCGUAUAUUAAAGUUGUUGCAGUUAAAAAGCUCGUAGUUGAAUUUCGGGAUUGACGUGAUGGUCGUGCCUUACGGGGUAUGAACUGUUGCAGUCAAUUUCUCACCUUCUGGAGAAAUAUGAUGUCCUUAAUUGGGUGUCAUAUGGAACCAGAACUUUUACCUUGAAAAAUUAGAGUGUUUAAAGCAGGCUUAUUGCUCGAAUACAUUAGCAUGGAAUAAUAAAAUAGGACGGCAUGGUUCUAUUUUGUUGGUUUCUAGGAUCACCGUAAUGAUUAAUAGGGAUAGUUGGGGGCAUUAGUAUUCAAUUGUCAGAGGUGAAAUUCUUGGAUUUAUUGAAGACUAACUACUGCGAAAGCAUUUGCCAAGGAUGUUUUCAUUAAUCAAGAACGAAAGUUAGGGGAUCGAAGACGAUCAGAUACCGUCGUAGUCUUAACCAUAAACUAUGCCGACUAGGAAUCAGACGAUGUUAAUUUUUAAUGACUCGUUUGG
This 517-nucleotide unclassified non-coding RNA is filed under the name uncultured Entrophospora. RNAcentral describes it as "SSU rRNA". It matches the Rfam family "Eukaryotic small subunit ribosomal RNA", at positions 569 to 1083 of the family's 1831-position model. The record is from RNAcentral. Lineage: Eukaryota; Fungi; Glomeromycota; Glomeromycetes; Entrophosporales; Entrophosporaceae.